UACAGAGGGGGCAAGCGUUGUUCGGAAUUACUGGGCGUAAAGGGCGCGUAGGCGGCCCGCUAAGUCGAACGUGAAAUCCCCGAGCUCAACUCGGGAACUGCGUCCGAUACUGGCGGGCUUGAAUCCGGGAGAGGGAUGCGGAAUUCCAGGUGUAGCGGUGAAAUGCGUAGACAUCUGGAGGAACACCGGUGGCGAAGGCGGCAUCCUGGACCAACACUGACGCUGAGGAGCGAAAGCCAGGGGAGCAAACGGG
Molecule: ribosomal RNA, 253 nt
Filed under: uncultured bacterium
Lineage: Bacteria
Description: partial 16S ribosomal RNA
Rfam family: Bacterial small subunit ribosomal RNA
Source: RNAcentral